RNAcentral lists this ribosomal RNA (868 nucleotides) under uncultured archaeon. Its description in RNAcentral is "bacterial SSU rRNA". It matches the Rfam family "Archaeal small subunit ribosomal RNA", at positions 1 to 878 of the family's 1478-position model. The record is from RNAcentral.
CUCCGGUUGAUCCUGCCGGACCCGACUGCUAUCAGAGUGGGACUAAGCCAUGCGAGUCAACAUAGCAAUAUGUGGCAUACGGCUCAGUAACACGUAGUCAACAUGCCCAGGGGACGUGGAUAACCUCGGGAAACUGAGGAUAAACCGCGAUAGGUCAUCACUUCUGGAAUGGGUAAUGACUUAAAUCUAUAUGGCCCCUGGAUUGGACUGCGGCCGAUCAGGCUGUUGGUGAGGUAAUGGCCCACCAAACCUGUAACCGGUACGGGCUCUGAGAGGAGGAGCCCGGAGAUGGGCACUGAGACAAGGGCCCAGGCCCUAUGGGGCGCAGCAGGCGCGAAACCUCUGCAAUAGGCGAAAGCUUGACAGGGUUACUCUGAGUGAUUUCCGUUAAGGAGAUCUUUUGGCACCUCUAAAAAUGGUGCAGAAUAAGGGGUGGGCAAGUCUGGUGUCAGCCGCCGCGGUAAUACCAGCACCCCGAGUGGUCGGGGCGUUUAUUGGGCCUAAAGCAUCCGUAGCCGGUUCUACAAGUCUUCCGUUAAAUCCACCUGCUUAACAGAUGGGCUGCGGAAGAUACUAUAGAGCUAGGAGGCGGGAGAGGCAAGCGGUACUCGAUGGGUAGGGGUAAAAUCCGUUGAUCCAUUGAAGACCACCAGUGGCGAAGGCGGCUUGCCAGAACGCGCUCGACGGUGAGGGAUGAAAGCUGGGGGAGCAAACCGGAUUAGAUACCCGGGUAGUCCCAGCUGUAAACGAUGCAGACUCGGUGAUGAGUUGGCUUAUUGCUAACUCAGUGCCGCAGGGAAGCCGUUAAGUUUGCCGCCUGGGGAGUACGGUCGCAAGACUGAAACUUAAAGGAAUUGGCGGGGGAGCA